Molecule: ribosomal RNA, 372 nt
Filed under: uncultured organism
Description: partial 16S ribosomal RNA
Rfam family: Bacterial small subunit ribosomal RNA
Source: RNAcentral
GUAGGUGGCAAGCGUUGUCCGGAAUUAUUGGGCGUAAAGCGCGCGCAGGCGGUUCUUUAAGUCUGAUGUGAAAGCCCACGGCUCAACCGUGGAGGGUCAUUGGAAACUGGAGAACUUGAGUACAGAAGAGGAAAGCGGAAUUCCACGUGUAGCGGUGAAAUGCGUAGAGAUGUGGAGGAACACCAGUGGCGAAGGCGGCUUUCUGGUCUGUAACUGACGCUGAGGCGCGACAGCGUGGGGAGCAAACAGGAUUAGAUACCCUGGUAGUCCACGCCGUAAACGAUGAGUGCUAAGUGUUAGGGGGUUUCCGCCCCCCUUAGUGCUGCAGCUAACGCAUUAAGCACUCCGCCUGGGAGUACGGCCGCAAGGCUG